RNAcentral lists this ribosomal RNA (302 nucleotides) under uncultured bacterium. Its description in RNAcentral is "partial 16S ribosomal RNA". It matches the Rfam family "Bacterial small subunit ribosomal RNA", at positions 508 to 807 of the family's 1533-position model. The record is from RNAcentral.
GCAGCAGCCGCGGGAAUACAGAGGGUGCAAGCGUUAAUCGGAAUUACUGGGCGUAAAGCGCGCGUAGGUGGUUUGUUAAGUUGGAUGUGAAAUCCCCGGGCUCAACCUGGGAACUGCAUCCAAAACUGGCAAGCUAGAGUAUGGUAGAGGGUGGUGGAAUUUCCUGUGUAGCGGUGAAAUGCGUAGAUAUAGGAAGGAACACCAGUGGCGAAGGCGACCACCUGGACUGAUACUGACACUGAGGUGCGAAAGCGUGGGGAGCAAACAGGAUUAGAUACCCCGGUAGUCCCUGUCUCUUAUAC